RNAcentral lists this long non-coding RNA (4753 nucleotides) under Gallus gallus (chicken). RNAcentral describes it as "lncRNA (ENSGALG00010009055.1)". Lineage: Eukaryota; Metazoa; Chordata; Aves; Galliformes; Phasianidae. The record is from RNAcentral.
CUGUAUUUCUGCCCUUACCUUAGGUUGACAAGUUUAAGAGUUGGAGACUGCUGCCUUUGAAUCCAGGUUAUGGUAUGUGUAUUUUAUUGGAUCUCAAACUCAACUUGAAAAACUGGAAUAUGCAUUGACUAGGGAGCCAUACCUUAAGGCUUUCACUACUGGACAAAUAACAAAUCCCUAAGAAUAAUGACAUCAUCAUAGCUGAAGCUCAUAACUCAGAUGUAUCCUGGAAGAUCCUGGGAGGAACAUGAAUGUCAGAGAACAGCAUGAGAAGACAUAAAAAACAUAAUUUUCUGUUGAAAGUCUUUCACAAUUAGUAAUAAAUCAUUAUGAAGGGAAAUGAGGAAGGGUUGUCUGGAAGAAAUAAUUAUUUGAGCAGAGGAGGAGAUAUGCCACACUUCUCCUUUCAGUCUUUUAUAUAUAUAUAUUAUACAUAUUUAUUUUACAUAUAUUUAUAUAAAAUAUAUAAAUUUAUAAAUAUAUAUAUAUAAAUCCAACUGAGAUAUUUUAUCAAAAUUCUGAAAUUCAAGCUUAUUAUGCCAAAGAAAUAAAUUGUUGAAUUCAGAACUUUCUGAUACAAAAUUAUUCUAAGUUUUUGGGUUCCUACAUUUUCUGCAUUUAUAUCUUUUUCCUCACUUUCAACUCCUUUUGUCACUGGCUCCAGAUAUUAUACAGCUACUUUGUUUCAUCUGAAGGGGAACAAUGGAAGAAAAGGUGUAUGAAAAAGUGAUGGCAAUUUUUUAUUUUUAUUUCCAGCUUUUCUGCACCAGAAUAAUUCUUGUUACUGUAUUAAAUAGGAAGAAUCUAAGUAUUAAGACAGAGAUCUGGAGGAAAAAAAACCAAGAAAACUGAAACAAUUAUUUUAGUCAAUGUUUGGAAAAACAUGAUAAUUGAAAAAAAAAUUAGAAGAGUGCUCAUAUUUGAUGGUCUUAUUUUUUCAGAACAGUCUCUUAUAUUGACUUAAUGAUGUCCACUGGAAUUGAAACAACAGUGCCUACACAAGGGACUUACUCUCUUUAAUUGCAUCAGUUGAAAGUGAUUCAACUUUUUGGUCAGAGAUGAACACAGGAAAAUGGAAAAAUAAAUGUGUAUUUUUUUGUGUGUGUUUUUUUUUUUGUUGUUUUUUUUAAUAGUAAAAUAAAGGGAAGGAAGCAAGGCAAACAACUUAUGGCCCUGAAAUACCAUAUUAUUAUAUCUAGGAAACCAUGACCAAAAGAUGCUAAUUUGUCUCAACUCACUCACUGUGAGGGUUCCCUUUGAUCCUCCUGCCUUUCUUAGAGUGUGAUGUUCUCACAUUUUAAUGCAGUAUCAUUUGACAUUGAGAUGCAGGGAAAAUUGUCCAGUAAACAGCUUUCUUGUACUGAUUUGGAGCUUGUGGGAAAGAUUACAGCGUGAGCUGGAGCCUGCCACAAGAGAAAUGGAUUAUUACUCUGGGAACACUUACAUCAAGAAGGGCCCUUUUACAGCUGAAAGAGGCAACCUUUUACAAAGAGCUGUGUUCUGUGAACUCCUUGUCAGCUUGCUGAAAGUGCUAACUCACUUACAGCAUACAGGUCAUUCCUCCCUAGAAACAGGAGAAAAUCUUUAGCAUGCUAUUUGUGACUUCUUCUCCUUGAAUGUAAAGAUGUUUUCUACAAAAUGACACCCUGUCAAAGAAAAACUAAAAAUCAGAUUUAAUGAGACAGACAGUUUAGGGAGGCAAGAGAAAAGGGGUGGCUUAAGAGACAUCAACGUUACAUUCACCGUAGCUUAAGCUUUCGGCAAACCAGCCCCCAUGGUUUGGAAAGGAUGGGAGUGGUGGCAUUUUCCAAAUGAAAUCCAGUUGUGAUAAAACUUAGGGCUGGGUAACAAGGUCUCCCUGAAUUUCCCCGCCCCUGAAAUCCUGCUUUUCUUGCUAUUGGUUUCAAUGUUGUGAUAAAAUUAAAAACCUCACAAGGGACUGUUUUUAAUUUUGGUUUUGAAAGAUUUUUUUUUCCUCAAGUCAAAGAGAACUAUAGAAUAAAUUAUUACAAGGACAUUAAAAGGAUUUCAUUUCCUUGAGCAUACAUAUGCAUUCUAGUGCAGCAUGUCCUCUCCCUCCCAGUGUAGCCAUUGAUCCACAGCUUUUAUAAUGAACUCUAAUAACAACUCUAUUACUGCAGGGCUUCUGAUUGGCUCAGGCACCCACAAAAUUAGCUACAAAGAAGCCAGCUUGUCAAUAUUAAUUCCGCCACAGAGAUUACUUGUUAUGGUAGAACAAAGGUGUUUUGGCUCGGGCUGAACAACUUAACUCCUUGUCUCAUAAAAUUUAAGCUGCUAUUGAUCGCCUUCUUCUAUUGUGCUCAAGGAUUAAAAAAAACACGAGCGCUCGCGCACGCAUGCAGACAGACACCAGUGUGCUGAAUCACUCUGAUGCAUUCUCCUAAACCAGCAGCCCCCCUUUCCCUUCCCUCCCUGGAUAGGAAGAAUCAUUCAGUAACAUGAAGCAAAUUAAAUCAAUGAAUUCAUCCUAGCAGAUGGGUGCUUUAACAGUCAGUUAGCCUUUAGAUAAUUGAGGCGUUGACUCCGGAAUCAUAAAAUGGAUGGCUCGUUUGUACAUUUUACUGAAAUAGAUCACUGAGGUUAAAUAAAUGAAAUCCCAUUUGUCAGCCGGUAAUAAAUGGCCUCCCCUUCUGCAAACAGCUCUGUUUGGCCUAAUAAAUACAGGGAUGUUACAGUGCUCCUCCCUUGAUAGGGUUAUGGCUUAAUGAAAUGGUCUUUCCUCUGCUUGUUUUUGCCUCCUCCUGCACCGUGUGAUAAGUAGCGAACCAACGAAGCUUGUAAUUACAAUCUUACAGAGAACCCAGCCAAUCUGUAUAUAAAUCUCACCAUCCAAUUACAAGAUGUAAUAAUUUUGCAGUCAAGCUGGUAAUGAGGUCUAAUACUCAUGCAUGUGAUAAUCCCCCCUGGAUGCUGACUCUAUCAGAUGUUAGCUUUGUAAUUAUACUGGCAGAAAAUCAUUAUUUCAUGUUCAGCAGAAAAAUGAGGUUGGUGGGAAGUUAAUUUUCUCUAUGCUCUGUGAAGCAUAGACAAAAUUUUAAUGAUUUAAUCAUUAUGGUUAUCCCUUUUGCAAUUGACCCGCGCUACUUCUGUAGAAACAUUGGCACAUUUAAAAGUCCCUGUUACCCGAUAAAGCUUGCCAGGUAUGCAGCUUUUAAUGUAAGAAUAACCGUAUACAAUUAAACUAUUAACCUGCUUGAUAGGGGAAAAAUCAAUAGUUUUUAUGUUUUCAUUAUUUACACAUAGGAUCCAAGGAAAUGUUUAUGUCCAGUCUGUACUGCGAUAAAAAAAGGCUCUUAAAGAAAGAAAAAAGAAAAAUGCUAUAAUUAGGAUGUAAGCCCUCAGAACAAAACAGCAGGUUCACAAUGUUCACAAUGGUAUUUUAGCAGCUCAGUUGUCUUUUGUUCCUUUCCAGUGUAAGAGACAUUUAUAAGAUAUUAUACCUCUGCACAAAGAGCUGAUUACAGCAUUUUUCUCAAGAAAUUGUUUAGAGGAAUCACUUCUGCACAUACAUAUUUUAAUUGUUCUUUCCAUUCUCAAGUUUUUCUUGUUAUUUCUGUUUGUCUAGCUUGCCAAAGGGAAUAACGCAGAGUAGGAGAAAAGUCACAACACUGAGACGGGAGAAUAGAAAAUUGUUAUGAUUUAAUCCCAGAAGGUAGCUCAGCACCACACAGACACUUGCUUACACUCCCCAGGUGGGAUUAGGGGGAGAAUCAGGAAGGUAAAAGUGUGAGAACUCAUGGGUUGAGUUAAAAACAUUUCAUUAGGUAAAGAAAAAGCUGUGUGCACAAGCAAAGCAAAACAAUGAAUUCAUUCAGUGCUUCCCAUCAGCAGGCAGAUGUUCCAAGAAGCAGGGCUCAUCACACAUUCCUUAAGCUGACAAACAUCAUCACUUUGAACAUUUCCCCCUUCCUCCUUUUUUCUCCCAUUUUUAUUGUUCAGCAUGACUUCGUACAGUAUGGUAUGUCUGUUUGAUCAGUCUUGGUCAGGUGUUCUGACGCUGUUCCCUCCCAGCUUCUUGUGCACUUUCAGUUCCUUGCUGGCAGAGCAGCAUGAGGAUUUGAGAAUUAAAAAAGUCCUUGGUUCUGUGUAAACACUGCUCUGUACAAACUAAAAACACUGUUGUGUCAUUACUAUUACUUUAAUCAAAAAUAGAAAACACAGCAUCAUACUAGCCUUAAUGAAGAAAAUUAAUCCUAUCUCAUCCAAAACUAUGAAAAAAUAAGCAGUAGUACAACCCAACACUGCAGAGAAGUGAGUGGACAGGGCAUAAGGCAUCACAUAUUGCACGUUGGUAGCAAAUAUGAUGUAUAAAAAUAAAUUACCUCAAAGAUUCCAGAUAGGGCCAAGACAAAAACUGUGGUCAACCUUUCUGUCCCUGUUCCUCUAUUUUAGGAGAGAAGUCAAGUAUCUGUUAAAUGUUAAUGAAACUAUCGUAAAAUGUGUAAUGUAGAGUUUUCAGCUGAAGACCAGGGGAUAUUUUUCCAAAUCAAACACUUUCAAAGCUACUAAGAUUUGUUAACUUCAUUUUACUUCCUCUAUCUUUUGAUUUUAUGGCUCUAAUGUUCACUUAACUGUCUUAGAGUAUAUGUAUGUAUGUACAUCUAUGCAUAUAUACAUUUAUGUGUAUAUGUAGUAAAAUACAUGUCUGUAUAUAUAUACUCUUUAUCUAAGAUGAACAUUUUCAAAAUGAUAACUGAAUUUUAUCUGCUGGAAAUACUUUCACUGUUCCUUU